RNAcentral lists this ribosomal RNA (253 nucleotides) under uncultured bacterium. RNAcentral describes it as "partial 16S ribosomal RNA". It matches the Rfam family "Bacterial small subunit ribosomal RNA", at positions 524 to 776 of the family's 1533-position model. The record is from RNAcentral.
UACGUAGGGAGCAAGCGUUAUCCGGAUUUACUGGGUGUAAAGGGUGCGUAGGCGGCCUGGCAAGUUAGAAGUGAAAUUUAGGGGCUCAACCCCUGAGCUGCUUCUAAAACUACCGGGCUAGAGUGCAGGAGAGGAAAGCGGAACUCCACGUGUAGCGGUGAAAUGCGUAGAGAUGUGGAGGAACACCAGUAGCGAAGGCGGCUUUCUGGACUGUAACUGACGCUGAGGCACGAAAGCGUGGGGAGCAAACAGG